ACGGAGCUCUCAGGGCUGGCAAAGCCCAAGGUGCGGCCCACAGCAGGGCAAUGCCCAUCCUGUUGGAACCCUGAGGACCAGCCUCAGCUCGGGACGGCUCGCUUGCCGACCUCCGAGGUGCAGUGGUCAUCGCCUUUGUGGUCUGCUGGCUGCCCUACCAUGUGCGGCGCCUCAUGUUCUGCUACAUUUCGGAUGAGCAGUGGACUCCGUUCCUCUAUGACUUCUAUCACUACUUCUAUAUGGUGACCAACGUGCUCUUCUACGUCAGCUCCGCCAUCAACCCCAUCCUGUACAACCUCGUCUCCGCCAACUUCCGCCACAUCUUCCUGGCCACACUGGCCUGCCUCUGCCCUGUGUGGCGGCGCAGGAGGAAGAGGCCAGCCUUCUCGAGGAAGGCCAACAGCGUGUCCAGCAACCACACCCUCUCCAGCAAUGCCACCCGCGAGACGCUGUACUAGGCUCUGCGCCCCGGAGCGUGUCCAGGAGGAGCCUGGCCGUGGGUCCUUGCCCCCCACAGACAGAGCAGCCCCCACCCGGGAGCUCUGAUGGUCGGGCAGAGGCCAGCCUGCGCUGGAGUCUGAGGCCUGGGACCCCCCUCCCACCCCCCAACCCCUGUUUCUCAUCAGUGUCUCCCGGGCCUGUCCCCAACUCCUCCCCACCCCUCCCCAUCUCCUCUUUGAAAGCCAGAACAAGAGAGCGCUCCUCUCCCAGAUGGGAAAAGGGCCUCUAACAAGGAGAAAUUAGUGUGCAGCAAAAGGCAGUUUUCUUUGUUCUCUGACUAAUGGAUGGUUCCAGAGAAGGAAAUGAAAGGUGCUGGGUGGGGCCGGGCCUCGGGCGGCCGGGCUGCUGUUCCCAUGUCCACAUCUCUGAGGCCUGCACCCACUCUGUCUAGCUCGGGGAGUCCAGCCCCAGUCCCGCAGGCUCUGUGGCUUUGGGCCUCACGUGCAGACCCUGCCAUGCAGACCCACGCCCCCCUCCCUCAGGCAGUUCCAAGAAAGCUCCCUGACUCGCCCCUUCAGGCCUGGCAAGCUGGGGGCCCACUGCCAUGAGGGGUCCCUCCCACCACCCUCGCCGCAGGCAGCUGCGGCCCCCAGAGGGGACCACAAGCCCAAAAAGGACAAAAAUGGGCUGGCCUGGAAUCGCCCAGACCCCAGCCUCCCCUCCUCCCUCCCAUCCUCACCCAGGACAAGGCCCAGGGGCUCUGCCAGGACGCCACAUGGGAGGAGGCUCAGGCCUCAGCCUCAGGAUCUUCAGCCGUGGCGUCUCGGGCUCGGCAGAAGGGACGCCGGAUCAGGGGCCUGGUCUCCCGCACCUGCCCAGGUGGCCGUGGCCAGGAUGGGGUGCACAUUCCGUGUGCUUUGCUUGUGGCUGUGCAGGCUGAGGUCUGGCAGCCAGGCCCAGAGCUGGCUUCAGGGUGGGGCCUUGAGAAGGGGAAUGUGGAACAGGGGCGAUGGAGCCUGGUCCCUGAGUAAGAUGCCAGUUCCAGGAACUCAGGCUUCAGGUGAGAAGGAGCGGUGUGUCCAGGCACCGCUGGCCAGCAGCCCUGGGCUGAGGCACAGACUCAUUUGUCACCCUCUGGUGGCGGCAGCCCUGGCCCCAGCCUCCAAGCAGUUGAAAAAGCUGGCGUCUCCUUGGUCUCUAGGAUCCAGGCGCCACAGAGCACACGACUGGCCAGGCCCCUGGCUUAAGAAGGUCGCCUGAGCCUGAGAGAAGACAGUCCCAGGAGAAGCUGGCCGGGACCAGCCAGGAACUGGGAGCCACAGGAAGCAAAAUUCAGCCUUUUCUUCAAGGGAUUUCCCUGUCUCAGAGCAGCCUUUGCACUGGGGAAAUGGGCUCUGGGCUGGCUGCCUGCACCGGCCACGUCGACCCGGGACCCGGACACCUGGUCUUGGGCUGUGUUCAGCCACUUUGCCUUCUCCGGACUCGGUUUCCCCAUCUGUGAAAUGAGAGUCGAAUGCUACAGUAUCUGCAGUCACUUGGAUCUGGCUGUUGAGUUGACGGGUUCCUUGAACCCCACAAAAUCCCUCUCCAACCACAGGGCCCUUCGGCUCACCAAGAACGGGGCCCAGGGGAGUCAGGCCCAUUUGCUGCACUUCCUGCCAAACUUUGCCUCCCACAAGCCUGGUCAUCAGCCAGGCAGCCCUCCCAGCGCCCAAGGGCCACCAACCCCAGGGAAACAGGGCCAGCACAGAGGGGCCUUCCUCCCCCACAGAGCUCCCAUGAGAAGCUUUGCUGCCCACAGAGCUCCCCACAGAGAAGCUUUGCUGCCAGCCAGGGAUGUCCAGAGGUCAGUGCAGCCCCUACCCCUGCUCAGGAGUGGGCUCAGAGUUUAGCAAAUGCUGAGGCCCCUCAGGCUGGGCUCUGAAUGAGGACCUGAACUGAACUCAGAGCCAGACAGGGCAGCCUCAGAUCCUUCUCUGCGGCUCCUGGACCUUGGGCCAUAAUUUCUGAGCCUCGGUUUCCCCAUCUAAGAAACAGAUGUGGUCGUUCCACCCUUGCAGCUGGAUGGGACUGUCCUGGAGGACCCACCCCGGAACAGACAGAAUGAUGUCUCUCAGGAUGGUGCUCUGAGAGAGGGGAGUGGAUGCCCCACUGCCCCAGACCCUCGGUAGACACGAGGUCUCCGGGGUGGGGUCUGUGGCUGUGACUGAAGUCGGCUUUUCCUGUUGAUGUCUUGAUGCUCCUAUCUGUGCACUUACUGUAGGUAGGGACACGUGUCCACGCACCACAGACACACCCACGACACCUGAUCUCGUAUCACUAGCUCGCAGGCAGGUCAUGAUGUGACCCCGGAAGCCAGCCCUGCGUGCCAUGAGUGCAUCGGUCAUGGAGUCCGGAGCCCCUGAGUCGGCCCCCGGUGACGGCGCAGCCCUCACAGCUCAAACGCCCGCCUCCACUCCCAUCAUCUGCAGUUGGUGAAAACAAACCCCGUGUAUCUCUCAAUAAAGGUGGCCGAAGGGCCCUCGAUGUGGA
This 2973-nucleotide small RNA is filed under the name Pongo abelii (Sumatran orangutan). RNAcentral's name for it is "processed transcript". The record is from RNAcentral. Lineage: Eukaryota; Metazoa; Chordata; Mammalia; Primates; Hominidae.